UGGAGCACCCUUUUUCACAGGUGUUUUCAGAGCACCCUUUUUUCAGAAAACACCCCCCUUGUUUUCACUGUUUUGGUUUAGCCCAACCCACAGCUCGAAGAACCUACAAGAAACAUACAGUAUAUCCGGUGGUUUGCUGAAUAUUUAUUAAAUUAAAUUAAAUUAAAUUUUAAGUGUUUCAUUUAAAGCCAGUCCUCCUCCUACACCAUGUCAAAGACACUGACAGUUUGGCAGCAUUUUACAAAAAAAAAGACAACCGAAAAUAAUCGAAUGAAAAGUUAGCAAGCAACAGUUGGCCUAUCACAGCUCGACAACAAACAUGGCAUAUCACCAAAAACCGGUCAGCAAACCUGUCUGUCAGUUAUUAUAAUAUGACAAAAUCAAUCAGAUAAAUAUUCCUCAAUAGUUUUACUGCUGAUAUCACUAGUUAUCAUAUCUCAUAUCUCUAUAUUUGUGGAAAUCAUGGACUGUGUCCGAGUCUCUUAAGUGCGUAAUUAAUUUCAGUGCAAAACAAUUAGGCCAAAACCGAUUUAUUAUAAAGCUAAUAGACUAUUAGUCUUUAUGUUUAGUUUUAAUUAAUUUAGGUGGACAAUACUGACAAGCACUGCUUAGUUUCCUUAUUUAAGCUGAACUCUUUAAUAAUAAAAUAAAGGUUGACCCAAAACACACUAUUUCUAUGAUGUUUGGUCUGUUGAAGGGGGAAAAAAAGUUUAAUUCUACAACAUAACACCAAUAUAAGGAUGCAAUUUUUAUUGUUUUGGGGGGUAAUUUUGCCAACUUUACAAUAAAAUUGUGUUUUUUAUGAAGCGGUGUUACAAUGUGCUAUUGUGUUUUACAGAGACGGUUUAUUCAGAGAGAGGCCUGACUGUGACAUCGUCUGGACUCAGGCCUGGUCUCUGCCUGCCACUCCAUACAUACCACAUGACUCAUCCUCCAUCUGUGCUUCCCUCCAGGUUUGCACCUUACCUUUCCAUCUGCCUCCUCUUUUCCUGCCAUCACUGUUUCCUUAAAAAAAAAAACCUAUUUCUCCUCGCCUUAAUAAACUGUUGUGUACAUCUGGCUAAAUGUUGUAUGUCAGCGCCACUGUUUAAAAAAAAAAAAAGCCUGACAUCAGCAUAUUCACAUAUACACAGUUCAAAAGUGGUCGUAUUGAUUUAAUGGGUCUUUGUUGAAUUCUGCACUGCACCUCAUUCAGAAUCGGUUUCUAUGGCGACUCUUUUGGUUAUCCAAAUGUUCAAAAUAUUCAUGGACCUCACCAGCUGUGUGUGAAUGUGUGUGUGUGAGAUUAAUUCAUUGCUUUCACUUUGAAGUAAGAAAAAAAAGGGCUUUAUUUUGCAUUAAAAAAAAGAAAUGUUCAUUUUGAAUUAGAGGGACUCUUUGAGCUACAAGAUCAAAACAGUCACAUCCCAUAAUGUACAAAAACAGCAUUGUCAGCAUUUCUAUACAGAGAAAAUCCUUUCUCAUUACAGCAGGUUAACUUCAUAUUUAGCACUGUGUGGAAGCCCUUUCCAAGGACAUGUGUCCCAGCAUCACUAAUACUCCUCAUAUUAUAAUACAUAACACAUUGUACCUAACAGAAAUGUUUAACAUCCAACCACUGAUUUAAUGCUUUCUUAUAAUGAUCCCUUAAAGGUUCAUCAUCUGGAAUAUAUUACUAUGACCAUGUCAUCAAAGACUAAAUGUGUAAAAAUACAAACAGCCAACCUGACAUUUUACUCAGCAGUAAACAGUGUCAGGUCCAAA
Long non-coding RNA from Cynoglossus semilaevis (tongue sole), 1743 nucleotides. RefSeq lists it as uncharacterized. The record is from RefSeq and is a predicted model, not a curated record. Lineage: Eukaryota; Metazoa; Chordata; Actinopteri; Pleuronectiformes; Cynoglossidae. The transcript has 2 exons.